UAAAGCAAACAAUACUAAUAGUGUUAUAAUUUAAUGAAUUUACCAAAAAAUGUAGGUUUAAAUACAAAAUGAAGUAAAUUAAUGUGGCGAAAAAUAAAUAAAAAAUUUCCACAUUUCUUCACUUCAACUACAUAAUUCAUCAAAAUCAACAACCAUAUAAUAUAAUCACCAAGUAAAACACUUCAAAUAUUAUUCACGCUACAAUCACUCAAAAACUUCCAAUAAUAACUCAGACACAAAUUACACGACAAAGAAAAAAAAACACAUAGCAAAACCAGCAUCAAAUAAAUCUUUUAAAAAAAAAAAAAACAGCGUAGGUCAAAUAAACGUCAAACACCGGCCACUAACCACCGUCAGCGCCGCCAUCGCCACCACCGUGAGUACUGCCGCCCAUCUCGGACGCGUGGUGGGCCGCAGCAACUGCUCCAGCUGCCGCUGCUGCUGCCGCCACAGCGCCUGCUCCAGUUACGGCAGCUCCGGCGCUGUCAAAUCCAGCAUGGAUGUCGUCGUCAGGCGGUGAUCCGCCGCUGCUACGCUUCCGGUUUCCUCUUUUGACAGCUGUCAUUGCGCUGGAUCCAUCUUCAUCAUCAGAUUCCUUCUUUUUAGCUCUACAGAUUGUGAAGCAAAAGCAGAUUUUUCUGCUCCACAUCUUUAUAGCAAUGCGUUUAUUCUAUGCACAUGUUCUCGUUAGCUUUUGAAGUGAAUGGAUCAUAUAUAUAGAGUGUUUGCAAUGCACCUNUUUUUUUGGCAAU
RNAcentral lists this long non-coding RNA (752 nucleotides) under Salvia miltiorrhiza (redroot sage). RNAcentral describes it as "long non-coding RNA (SMIL_LNC009884)". The record is from RNAcentral. Lineage: Eukaryota; Viridiplantae; Streptophyta; Magnoliopsida; Lamiales; Lamiaceae.